Populus trichocarpa (black cottonwood) is the source of this 3685-nucleotide RNA transcript. RefSeq lists it as uncharacterized. The transcript has 4 exons. NCBI's taxonomy places the organism in Eukaryota, Viridiplantae, Streptophyta, Magnoliopsida, Malpighiales, Salicaceae. The record is from RefSeq and is a predicted model, not a curated record.
AACGCAGCACGUCUCCAGAACCAAAAAAGCGAAAGCCAAAACCAAAAAACUAAACACAACACAAGCCAAAACCAGUAAGCGUUUCUAAUUCGAAUCGACAACGCUUGAGUCGAGAGAGAAAAGACCGAAACAGUGAAGAUUCAAGAACAACAAUUCCUUGGUUCCUUCUCUAAUCUCCACUGAUGUCAUUGCAUAUUGGCAACUUAUCGUCUCACAUUCGUAGAGAUGAACUUGAGCGUGUCUUCCAAAGGUUUGGUCGGUGUAAUGUACGAAUGAAAGAUGGAUAUGGGUUUGUGGUAUAUGAAUUCCCUCCAAAUGCAGAAAAAGCUUUGAGAGCACUACAUAAGAGGAACAUUUGUGGGAAACCACUAACUCUCUCAUGGUCAAAUAAACAGCCUAGACCACUUAAAAGAUUUGCAAGGACUGAUAGAUCUUAUGAGCCACAGCAUCGUGGGAAUUCUGACAGAGGAGGAGAUCAUGUUAAAAGAAAAUUGGGUUCCAAUGAUCAGCAAGAUUAUAGGUUGAGUUUUACUCAAGCAGAUAGGAAUAGCAGAAUACCUAGUUCUGCAGACAUGCACCAGGAAGAGAUAGUUAACCACCAGGAUGACAUUGAAGACCACACCAACAAAGAACAUCAGGGUUAUAGAGAAGAUUUUCUAGAUGAAAGAGGUAGGGUUGGACCUGACCCAAUGGACAAUGAUAGAUGGGGUGAGCAAUUCCAUAACCCACCAAAUGAAGUUGGUGUUGAAAAUGGGGUAGAAUUUGAUAGAUAUGAUCCUUAUGAAGGUUUUGAUAGGAGAAACAAUGAUGAAAAUCUUCAGAAGGCCUAUUCUGGCGGUACUCUUGCUUUACAAAGCUCUCAAGAGAAUGCAGGGGGGGAUCACGCCAGCGAUGCAACUUUAAACCGUCUUAGUGAUGUAAAAUCCCAGGAAACUUGCUACAAAUGUGGAGGCUCUGGUCACAAAAUGCGCAAUUGUCCCCAGGAAAAUGCUUCACAGAGAAAUGUCACUAGGUUUGACAGUAGGCACACUGAUGACAUCCAUAGAAGUGGUAGAGGUAAAGGCGAUCCAGAAAAAAAUGGAUCCAGGUCAUGGGAAAAGCUCCAGUCAAGUAGAGAUGCUAUACCAGGAAGGAGACUCAAGAAUGAUAAAGAAUCAUCUGGUUCAGGAAGGCAUGAAGAAGUGACAAGGAAUGGAAGAUCUGCUGUAUCAAAGGAAACCGAUUGGUCCUGUAAAAAGGAGUAUGAAAGGAAAAGACAACGUAGGAAGGAAAUUGAAUCUCCAAAAAGACAUGGCACAAAGAAAGGGAGACGAUCAACUUCAUCUUUUCUGCAUUCUGACAACACCACAUCUAGAUUGCAUUCUACAUCUCAUUCCUCUAAGCAGCUGCAAAGGUCUCACUCCCACUCUAGAUCAAAAUCACUAUCUUCCAGCUUAAGGUCUGGCUCAACAUCACUCUAUUCUAGAUCCCAAAGUUCUAAAACCAUGUCAAGAUCAAUAUCUCCUACAUCCCUAUCCUUGUCCGUGUCACUUGGUCAAGCUUUGCCGUCCUCUUCAAAUAAGGCACAGCUGAUCAUGAAAGGCUCAUCAGAUAAUGCCACAACACCUGAAUCCAAGGAGGUUUUUAUUGAAGAAGUGCAACCAGUAGAAGGUGAAACUGGCUUGCAGGGUGAUAAACAUGGAUUGAAGACGGUUGCUGUGAAUGACAAUGCAGUGUCAUCGUCCAAAGCAGACACUGAAAUGGAAAAAUAUCAGCCUCUUCAGAAGGAUAGUGAUGACUGCCUAAUGGUGUCCAAUUCAUUGCACAAAGCAACUAAUUCAAGCACACAAAUACUGUCAGAGGAAGGCACACUUGCUGCUGGAAAUCUCUCUCUGGAGCCUGUGUUAGAGAUGGAAUGUCAAAAUUCUGAUACAUUUGAAACUGAGCAUGUGCAAGUUCCAUUGAAGAAAUUGGACCCACAAGCUCCUGCCAGCUCAUCUUCCUUCCACUCAACAAGCAUUUCUGCAGGGGAGUUGAGCAGUGUUCUGAAGCACUAUGGCCUUGGUUGUCAAGAUGAGAAUGAAAAGCCUUUGCCUGCUGAGGCUUACUUUGGUUCUGCUCGCUUGUGGCCGUGGGAGAUCAUCCACUACAGGAGGUUGAAGAAGGGCCUUAUCUCCAUUGAGAACUAUGCUAGGCGGGUUGAUCAGAAUAGGGAAUUCGGUAUUGUUGACAAAUAUAUUAGAAGCAGUAGUGGUUGGGGAGAAUUACAUCAAGAGAACCUGUGAAAGGUUUUGUUUGUCAAAAUGUGGAUUUAUUUUUGCCUUCUUAGAACCUCAGCAUUUUGGACACAUCGUGAAUCUAGCCCUGCUCUUGUUUUGAGCAGAAGAGUUGAACAGAUUUUAGACGUGCUCACAGUCACAGCAUAACACUUGGUUUGGAGAAAAGUGCCAGCUUCUUGCAAUCUCUUUUACAUUUGGUUCAAGAACUGCUGGUAUUUGUGUGUGAACGUCAAAUUUGAAAUAUGGUCACCCCUUCACCCCGAGUGGUGGACUUCUAAUUAUUAUCAGCUCUCUGUUGCUGUGUUUUUUUGAGCUCAGAUUAUCCAUCAUUUAGAAAAUUGAAAGCUCUUCUCGGUUUAGAGCUGUUGUUUUUGUAAGGUGAAUUUUUCCUUUUUCCCUUUGAAUAUUGAAGUGUUCCUUUUCUUGGUCUCUUCUGCCUAUGCAAAAUGCUUCUUCAGCAAUGAAGUUUAGAAAUCAGAUGUUCUAUGGGAUUUCACAGAUUUUCCAUGACUUAGCAGGUGAAGUAAAACUUGAAACCGAAGGCAAACUCAUUAUAGAUAAAAGUAUGUCAGUUUCACCCAAGCACCAAAUUUCGACAACUGCAUGGGCUUCUGGAGUCAAAAGUAAUUUGCAAUAUCUUGACACCUGUCAUGUGAAGAUUAAUGCUUUCUUAACUGAAGUGAAGCGGGGAUGCUCCGUUAUAAUAGAAAUCUUUGAAAUAUAGACACUGAAUUUGUAUCUUGUUUUGCUGAUUAAAAGAUUCGUUAGACGUUUUUAUGGAGCAAUUGAAUGCUUAAUUUUGUUUUCUUGUUUACUCCUUUGACUAAAUUAGGGAUAACAUGGAAGAUUCUUUUUCAGCUGCAGGUUGGCUAUUUGUUAAAGAAGGAAAAAAAAAAAAGAUAGUUUUUUGUGAAUCCAAAUGUAAUUUAUUUUAUAAGCUUUGGUUUGUUUCCCAGUAUGAACUUAUGUUGAUCUUGAAUUGCUGCAGGUACUAUAUAUACACCGCAUUUUGACUAAUAAUUUGAGGAUUCCAUGUAUCCGCUGGCUAGUUUAGCAUUUGAUUUGCUAUGGUCUCCUGUGAGGACAAGCAUUGUUAAUAUCCUUGUAUCUCGAUCCACCUUGAGAGUAAAAGAAACAGAAUGUUCCCGGGCUAUGAUCAGCAGUAAUCGUCAAGCACACUAGAAAGAAAUAGCAAUUAUUUGUUCCCAGCAUGUGGGGUUUCGUUCACAAAGAUGGAUGAUUGGACAUGGAUGAACAUUCAGAAACAACAGAUAGGGAUGUGAUGUGAUUAGAAUGAUAAAUCCUGAACUUAGAUUGUCAUCCCUAGAUUUGGCAUGGAUUUAUUUUCUCUCUAGAUUUGUAUUAGAUUUUUCUUUGAGAAAACAGAGACAAAUAAAUAUUUAUAAAUUGAGUGCUUUGGUCUGAAA